AACGAACGCUGGCGGCAUGCCUAACACAUGCAAGUCGAACGAGACCUUCGGGUCUAGUGGCGCACGGGUGCGUAACGCGUGGGAACCUGCCCUUAGGUUCGGAAUAACUCCCCGAAAGGGGUGCUAAUACCGGAUAAUGUCUUCGGACCAAAGAUUUAUCGCCUUUGGAUGGGCCCGCGUUGGAUUAGCUAGUUGGUAGGGUAAAAGCCUACCAAGGCGACGAUCCAUAGCUGGUCUGAGAGGAUGAUCAGCCACACUGGGACUGAGACACGGCCCAGACUCCUACGGGAGGCAGCAGUGGGGAAUAUUGGACAAGGGGCGAAAGCCUGAUACAGCAAUGCCGCGGGAGUGAUGAAGGCCUUAGGGUUGUAAAGCUCUUUUACCCGGGAUGAUAAUGACAGUACCGGGAGAAUAAGCUCCGGCUAACUCCGUG
This 433-nucleotide ribosomal RNA is filed under the name uncultured bacterium. Its description in RNAcentral is "partial 16S ribosomal RNA". It matches the Rfam family "Bacterial small subunit ribosomal RNA", at positions 29 to 507 of the family's 1533-position model. The record is from RNAcentral.